Molecule: ribosomal RNA, 251 nt
Filed under: uncultured prokaryote
Description: partial 16S rRNA
Rfam family: Bacterial small subunit ribosomal RNA
Source: RNAcentral
ACGGAGGGUGCAAGCGUUAUUCGGAAUUACUGGGCGUAAAGCGCGGGUAGGCGGUCCUGCAAGUCGGAUGUGUAAGCCUCGGGCUUAAGCCGGGAAGUGCAUUGGAAACUGCAGGUCUUGAGUACUGGAGAGGAUGGGGGAAUUCCCGGUGUAGAGGUUAAAUUCGCAGAGAUCCGGAGGAACAUCAGUGGCGAAGGCGCCCAUCUGGACGGUAACUGACGCUGAGCCGCGAAAGCGUGGGGAUCAAACAG